GACUUGAGCAGACUAGAUCUCGACACUCAGUCACCAUCUGAGAAGUGAGAAUCACUUCCGCAGCCACCGCGACUCCCUCAGUCCCUCACCAUGAUUCCCUCUGUCCCUCAUCGCAACAACAUGGCUACUCUCUGAGGCUCAAACUCUCAGUCUCGCCGCGACUCCAUGGCUCCACGCGGCCACGCCUCCUGUUUCUUGAGCUCAAGAUGGUGGUAGUGUUGGCGAGGAUGAGCCUCCUACUGAAUUCCAAACCUCAAAAUAUAUAUAUAUAUAAAUUAUC
This 280-nucleotide long non-coding RNA is filed under the name Rosa chinensis. Its description in RNAcentral is "sRNA RchiOBHm_Chr5g0035331". Lineage: Eukaryota; Viridiplantae; Streptophyta; Magnoliopsida; Rosales; Rosaceae. The record is from RNAcentral.